GUUGCCUGCCAGCCUUUGUUUUAACAUUACCCCUGCCCAUCUGUACCAUUCAAGUGGAAGUAGGCCACUGGAGUUCUGUGUAACUUGAGUUGGCCCGGCCAGCGGCAAACUCGAGAUGCACUACAGCCUUCCUGGCCCGCAAUUGUGUAAUGCGAGCCGGGGGCAUUGACUCGGACGUCAAGGAUAAUGGAAAGUUAACAGCGCGCAGUCGCAGCCGCCGUCUAAGUUAAGACACAAAAACAAAGCUAUGUGCGGCUAGAAACUGGCUGUGGAGCCAAUAUGCCAGACAGCGGUGGGGCGCAGGCGGCGCUGGACCAGACCGAAGACUGGGCCGGAAUGCUGUUGAACUCAAUGUUUACACUGCAACAAAAUCAAGAGUAUAAGCAAAAUGAGUAACGACCUGUCAAGUGAUUGAGCUCAAACUUGUAGUUUUGGCCGCCAUCGCAAUGAAAUGAAAUUUCGAUCAUUUCCAGAGAAUUCAGGCCACAGAUUUGGUUCUGGUUCUACAGCAGUUUGAGUUGCUGCUGCUGCUGUUGUUGUUGUUGUUGUUCUUGCUUCUUCUUCUUCAACUACUACUUCUGCUGCUGCUGGUGCUGCUGCUGGCCAUGGCCGUGCCCGUGCUGAGGCCCAAACUAGUUGGACAACUCCAGUUCAAGGAUCCGCGCCGGCAACGGGUUCAUUAACUUGUUUGCCUCGUUGCUGCUUCUUAGUUUUAUUUUCUUUUUAGUUUUAUUUGGGGCCGCGGCGAGACAAUAAUGAUCUUCGCUGGAAAUACGCGCGCCCCUCCGCUUGAAUGGCUGGCUGGCUGACUGACUGGCUGAGCUCUUGAUGCUUGUGUGUGGUUGCGGUUGGUGUUGGUGACUUAAUUGCCGCACCCAGUUCCCAGUCCUGGACAAAGGGGAUUAGCAAGAAAAACAUUUAGCCAGCCGGUUUCAAUUUCUCGCCCAUUCAAUAUGUGAAAUCUAUAGGUAAGGAUACUACAACUAGGCACGGGGCUGCAUUUCUCAAUGCCAGCGCUGAUAAAGUGGAGAGCUCUAAUAGCCCAACUGACUGAUAGCCGUAACCUUGUGGCAUUCAUUGUUGCUAGUGAUUCACUGGCUUGUCGUCAGUGACUAAGCAGCGCUUGCUACGCUGACUAACUGUGGUUAAGAAACCAGACAAAAGCUUGCUUAAAUAAAGGUUUCUAUUAACUUG
Drosophila busckii is the source of this 1194-nucleotide long non-coding RNA. RefSeq lists it as uncharacterized. The transcript has 2 exons. The record is from RefSeq and is a predicted model, not a curated record. Lineage: Eukaryota; Metazoa; Arthropoda; Insecta; Diptera; Drosophilidae.